GAUGAACGCUGGCGGCGUGCCUAAUACAUGCAAGUCGAGCGAACGGACGAGAAGCUUGCUUCUCUGAUGUUAGCGGCGGACGGGUGAGUAACACGUGGAUAACCUACCUAUAAGACUGGGAUAACUUCGGGAAACCGGAGCUAAUACCGGAUAAUAUUUUGAACCGCAUGGUUCAAAAGUGAAAGACGGUCUUGCUGUCACUUAUAGAUGGAUCCGCGCUGCAUUAGCUAGUUGGUAAGGUAACGGCUUACCAAGGCAACGAUGCAUAGCCGACCUGAGAGGGUGAUCGGCCACACUGGAACUGAGACACGGUCCAGACUCCUACGGGAGGCAGCAGUAGGGAAUCUUCCGCAAUGGGCGAAAGCCUGACGGAGCAACGCCGCGUGAGUGAUGAAGGUCUUCGGAUCGUAAAACUCUGUUAUUAGGGAAGAACAUAUGUGUAGGUAACUGUGCACAUCUUGACGGUACCUAAUCAGAAAGCCACGGCUAACUACGUGCCAGCAGCCGCGGUAAUACGUAGGUGGCAAGCGUUAUCCGGAAUUAUUGGGCGUAAAGCGCGCGUAGGCGGUUUUUUAAGUCUGAUGUGAAAGCCCACGGCUCAACCGUGGAGGGUCAUUGGAAACUGGAAAACUUGAGUGCAGAAGAGGAAAGUGGAAUUCCAUGCGUAGCGGUGAAAUGCGCAGAGAUAUGGAGGAACACCAGUGGCGAAGGCGACUUUCUGGUCUGUAACUGACGCUGAUGUGCGAAAGCGUGGGGAUCAAACAGGAUUAGAUACCCUGGUAGUCCACGCCGUAAACGAUGAGUGCUAAGUGUUAGGGGGUUUCCGCCCCUUAGUGCUGCAGCUAACGCAUUAAGCACUCCGCCUGGGGAGUACGACCGCAAGGUUGAAACUCAAAGGAAUUGACGGGGACCCGCACAAGCGGUGGAGCAUGUGGUUUAAUUCGAAGCAACGCGAAGAACCUUACCAAAUCUUGACAUCCUUUGACAACUCUAGAGAUAGAGCUUUCCCCUUCGGGGGACAAAGUGACAGGUGGUGCAUGGUUGUCGUCAGCUCGUGUCGUGAGAUGUUGGGUUAAGUCCCGCAACGAGCGCAACCCUUAAGCUUAGUUGCCAUCAUUAAGUUGGGCACUCUAAGUUGACUGCCGGUGACAAACCGGAGGAAGGUGGGGAUGACGUCAAAUCAUCAUGCCCCUUAUGAUUUGGGCUACACACGUGCUACAAUGGACAAUACAAAGGGCAGCGAAACCGCGAGGUCAAGCAAAUCCCAUAAAGUUGUUCUCAGUUCGGAUUGUAGUCUGCAGCUCGACUACAUGAAGCUGGAAUCGCUAGUAAUCGUAGAUCAGCAUGCUACGGUGAAUACGUUCCCGGGUCU
This 1372-nucleotide ribosomal RNA is filed under the name uncultured bacterium. Its description in RNAcentral is "bacterial SSU rRNA". It matches the Rfam family "Bacterial small subunit ribosomal RNA", at positions 28 to 1381 of the family's 1533-position model. The record is from RNAcentral.